CAUCACAGAGACCUGCAGGGCCCUGGCGCUCAGAAGCCAGCGUGAGGUUCUAGGUCUGGGGCCGGGGCGGGCGACAGCGGGGCUCGGAGCCACAGCCACAGCCCUGCCUGACGUAGGUCUGGUGUCUGGUCAGUGUCCUGAGGACGUUAUGCCAUGCAGGGCGGUUCUGAAUUGCCUGGGCCCAGCCUGGUGUUGCCACGGUCCCCACCCCACUCUGCAGCCCUGUCUGAUCCUGACCCAGUUUUCUUGCCCACCCCUGAGGCUCAAACACUGUGAUUUGAGCUCAGACAA
This 291-nucleotide long non-coding RNA is filed under the name Pan troglodytes (chimpanzee). RNAcentral describes it as "long non-coding RNA NONPTRT004383". Lineage: Eukaryota; Metazoa; Chordata; Mammalia; Primates; Hominidae. The record is from RNAcentral.